AGUGAACGCUGGCGGUAGGCCUAACACAUGCAAGUCGAACGGCAGCACAGUAAGAGCUUGCUCUUACGGGUGGCGAGUGGCGGACGGGUGAGGAAUACAUCGGAAUCUACUUUUUCGUGGGGGAUAACGUAGGGAAACUUACGCUAAUACCGCAUACGACCUACGGGUGAAAGCAGGGGAUCUUCGGACCUUGCGCGAUUGAAUGAGCCGAUGUCGGAUUAGCUAGUUGGCGGGGUAAAGGCCCACCAAGGCGACGAUCCGUAGCUGGUCUGAGAGGAUGAUCAGCCACAAUGGAACUGAGAACAGGUCCAGACUCCUACGGGAGGCAGCAGUGGGGAAUAUUGGAACAUGGGCGCAAGCCUGAUCCAGCCAUACCGCGUGGGUGAAGAAGGCCUUCGGGUUGUAAAGCCCUUUUGUUGGGAAAGAAAAGCAGCAGGUUAAUACCCCGCUGUUCUGACGGUACCCAAAGAAUAAGCACCGGCUAACUUCGUG
This 492-nucleotide ribosomal RNA is filed under the name uncultured bacterium. RNAcentral's name for it is "partial 16S ribosomal RNA". It matches the Rfam family "Bacterial small subunit ribosomal RNA", at positions 29 to 507 of the family's 1533-position model. The record is from RNAcentral.